RNAcentral lists this ribosomal RNA (547 nucleotides) under Mallodon downesii. Its description in RNAcentral is "partial 16S ribosomal RNA". The record is from RNAcentral. Lineage: Eukaryota; Metazoa; Arthropoda; Insecta; Coleoptera; Cerambycidae.
AAACUAGUAUUUAUAAAUUUUAAUUUUCUCGAAUUUAGAAGAGCUAAUUGAUUAUAGUUAUUAUCGUUGAAUAGAUAUUUUUAAUAAUCAAUUAGAGGCGAAACGUUAUUCGUUUCUUAAUAUAUCUAGUUUUUUUAGAAACAGAUUUAAUCUGCUUUAUUUAUAUAAUUUUUCAUUUUUUUGAUUAAUUGUAGAAAUAUUGUUAUUUCUUGAGGGAUGAGCUUCAAGAUAAACCACUAAAAGCACGAAUCAACUACAAAAUAUAUAGGAUUAGAAGUUUCCAUUGUUUAGAAAAUGUUAUAAUUUAUUUUGUUUUGUUUUUAUUUCUAUUUUGUUUAGAUUUUCUAUAAAAAUAUUUUCCUAAAUUUUUUAGGUUUAGUAAUUAUGAUAGAAUUAGUAUAUUUAUUUGUUUGGUUGGUUCUUAAAUUUUAGGUUAAUAAAAGGAACUCGGCAAAUUAUUUUUCACCUGUUUAUUAAAAACAUGUCCUUUUGAUUAUGAUUUAAGGUCUGUCCUGCCCACUGAUUUUUUGAAUGGCCGCGGUAUUCU